This is a small nuclear RNA of Cervus hanglu yarkandensis (Yarkand deer), 104 nucleotides long. Lineage: Eukaryota; Metazoa; Chordata; Mammalia; Artiodactyla; Cervidae. The record is from Ensembl.
GUGUUUGCUUUAGCAACACAUAUACUAAAAUUGGAAUAAUACAGAGAUUAACAUGGUCCCUGCACAAGGAUGAUACUUAAAUUUGUGAAGCACUCCAUAGUUUU